GAGGAAGUAAAAGUCGUAACAAGGUCUCCGUUGGUGAACCAGCGGAG
Molecule: ribosomal RNA, 47 nt
Filed under: Monosporascus cannonballus
Lineage: Eukaryota; Fungi; Ascomycota; Sordariomycetes; Xylariales
Description: partial 18S ribosomal RNA
Source: RNAcentral